GUAAUACGUAAUGAUUAAAAUCAAGGCUGAAAUGUAUUCAAAAAUAACUUUUUAUACAGCGCGAUUCUUUUUCUAUUAAAAUAUUUCGUAAAUUACUUAUUACGUUUAUUACAUGUAAUAUCACGUAUUAUAUUGUUUUAGAGCAUAACCUAUAAUUUUCGUGAAAAGAUAUGCUUAUACAUAUUAUACAGAGCUUUACUCAUGUCUGUAUAAUAUGUAAGUAUAUAUGUACAUAUAUACUUACUUACAAUGAAUGGAAAAUUUUAAAUAAUUUUUGUAAUAAUAAAAAUAGAGAAGAAACUUUAUUGAAAGGAAGACAAAGAAAGGUCUACAGAAAUAAAAAAAUUCAGAAAAAUGAAUGAAUGUAAAAAAAGAACGAUUUAUUUUAUUAAAAAUCAGUUUGU
RNAcentral lists this unclassified non-coding RNA (404 nucleotides) under Bombus terrestris (buff-tailed bumblebee). Its description in RNAcentral is "misc RNA ENSBTSG00005028046.1". Lineage: Eukaryota; Metazoa; Arthropoda; Insecta; Hymenoptera; Apidae. The record is from RNAcentral.